This 885-nucleotide long non-coding RNA is filed under the name Rhinopithecus bieti (black snub-nosed monkey). Its description in RNAcentral is "lncRNA (ENSRBIG00000045488.1)". Lineage: Eukaryota; Metazoa; Chordata; Mammalia; Primates; Cercopithecidae. The record is from RNAcentral.
CGGUGUCUGUCCCUGGCCAGGGUGGGGGCGGGGCCUCCGCCGCUCUGAGCUUGCCCUUGUGUCUGGUGCUUCGUAGAGCUGCCGCCGCCGCUGCCGCCGCCGCCGCUGCCGCUGCUGCUACAGCCGCCGCUGCAGCCGGAGCAUCCGGGAGCUGCCACUGCCGCCGCCGCUGCCGCCACUAGCGCUGCUUCCACCGCUGCUACCUCCCCUCCCAGGACCUCGAGACAUCCCGGGUGCGAGCGGCAGUGCUGCUUGCUUGCUCCCCCUCUCCCCCAGCCUUUCCCCUCCGUGACCUACCCACUCCUUGCAGCCCUCGCCCGCACCUUCUUCGACACCCCGGCACCCCUGCACCACCUGCUCGGGCAGCCCCGGCGGGCUCUGGGACUUGCUGUGCGCGCCGAGAGGAAGGCAAGCUCCAAACCCCUGCCUGGCAGACGGGCUGUCGCGGCUGCACCACCAGCAGGAGGAGGAGGAGAAGAAACUAUUUCGCCCACCGAUACCCCAUUCUGCGGGUGCUUUGCCGCUGUCGCUACUGCUGCCGCCAAUCCGAGUCCGCGGGUUCGAACACCUCAGCGGCGGGGACGCCCUUGAGAGAAGGGACCAUGAUUUGGAAACGCAGCGCCGUUCUCCGCUUCUACAGUGUCUGCGGGCUCCUGCUACAAGGUAAUCCCCGCCCCGCCGCGGGGAACAUCAACUUCUCGCCCAUUCCCCAUCUUCCACAUUCCACCCCGUAUUUCCACUCUCCCCUCCCAGUCCCCCUGUCCCCAGCGAUUUCCACCCCCCUCCCCCUACUCUCUGGUGCGGCAGGGGGCAGUGGCAGUUUGCACCAGCCCCUUGAAUUUCUAACGCUGGCUCAGCCCUGCCUUCCCAGCAGUCGGCCCCUUA